CCAGCUGCAGGCGCUGGUGUUCGGCAUGGCCGGCUGCAUCGAGACCUUGGAGAGGCGCCUGGAAGCCGUGGAGACACUGGCAUCUUCCUGCAGCCCUCAGAAGAAUACUGCCCAGAGCCAGCAGCUCUUCCUGCCAGGUAGGCACUGCCAGGGGCACCUGCCCUGAUCCUGCUGUCCUGCCUUCUCCUUCCCAGAGGCUGCUGGUCCUGUGUUCAUGUGCUCUUCAGCACACACCGAGUGCCCUCGGCUGUGGCUGCUGUCAGGCACCCACUGUCCUGGUGCCCUUCCCGGCAGAGCAGGGGCAGGGCUCACUGUGGUGGCUCUCGGGGUAUCUGGGGUGCUCAGGUCAGAGGCUGGUCAUCACCAGCCUCAGAAGAAGGGCAGGCUUUGCUGUGCUUCCAGACUGGGGGUCGGGGCAGGUCCGUGGCUCCUUUGGGAGAGGAGGCCAGGCUUGGCCCUUCCUCUCCAUGGCUGCUGGCCCUGCCAGGCUGGGCUGCUGGAAGCUCGCCCUGGCCCUGGAGGGACUGGCAGGGCUGACAGAACACCUGGCUGACCUGCAAUCUGCAUCCUGCCUAUCCUUGACUGAGGCAGACCCCAGCCCCAGGAAGAACAGGGCUGCUGGCUCAGCUUUGCCAGCCAAAAGGAAGGUUCCGGGAGAGUCUCUCAUUAACCCUGGUUUCAAAAGCAAGAAAGCAUCAUCUGGAGUGAAUUUCGAGGACUCCUGAGUGGUGCUGUCCUGUGCCCUGAUGACAGCCCUGUGGAGCCCUAUCAGCAUGCGCGUGGGUGGAGGAGAGAGUGCCCGGUGUCUGGGGCCAGCUGAGCCCCUCUCACCCAGGGAGGCAACAGAGCCAUCAGCACAUGGCAGCUGACCCUCCACUGGGGUGGUGGCCGGGCCUUUGAGGAGACACCAGUGGUUGCUUUCUUCCCAGCAGCUCUUCCCUGCUGGCAGGGGCCACCUCUUGACUUCAUUUUCCUUGAAUUGGUGGGGUUUGGAAGGAAUUUUUGUAGCACUGCAGAACGGAAGGAUUGCCUGUGCUUAUCUUCUUUCCAGUAAAGGUGUUUUUAGCCAGCCAGUCUCUGUGGAUGUGUCGGUGUAUUCUGCCUCUCCCGUUCCCAGGAAGCCUUGGGCCAGUUUC
This 1136-nucleotide long non-coding RNA is filed under the name Manacus vitellinus (golden-collared manakin). RNAcentral describes it as "lncRNA (ENSMVIG00005010898.1)". Lineage: Eukaryota; Metazoa; Chordata; Aves; Passeriformes; Pipridae. The record is from RNAcentral.